RNAcentral lists this ribosomal RNA (253 nucleotides) under uncultured bacterium. RNAcentral describes it as "partial 16S ribosomal RNA". It matches the Rfam family "Bacterial small subunit ribosomal RNA", at positions 524 to 776 of the family's 1533-position model. The record is from RNAcentral.
UACGUAGGGUGCGAGCGUUAAUCGGAAUUACUGGGCGUAAAGCGUGCGCAGGCGGUUCUAUAAGACAGAUGUGAAAUCCCCGGGCUCAACCUGGGAAUUGCGUUGGAGACUGCAAGGCUAGAAUCUGGCAGAGGGGGGUAGAAUUCCACGUGUAGCAGUGAAAUGCGUAGAGAUGUGGAGGAACACCGAUGGCGAAGGCAGCCCCCUGGGUCAAGAUUGACGCUCAUGCACGAAAGCGUGGGGAGCAAACAGG